RNAcentral lists this unclassified non-coding RNA (346 nucleotides) under soil metagenome. RNAcentral describes it as "partial contains 5.8S ribosomal RNA, internal transcribed spacer 2, and large subunit ribosomal RNA". The stretch from base 1 to 121 matches the Rfam family "5.8S ribosomal RNA", at positions 35 to 154 of the family's 154-position model. The record is from RNAcentral.
GAUGAAGAACGCAGUGAAAUGCGAUAAGUAAUGCGAAUUGCAGAAUUUCCGUGAGUCAUCGAAUCUUUGAACGCACAUUGCGCCCACUGGUAUUCCGGUGGGCAUGCCUGUUCGAGCGUCAUUAUCCUCCCUCAAACCUCGGGUUUGGUGUUGGACCCAAGUUGUGUGAACAACUGGUCUCAAAGACAAUGACGGCGUCCGUGGGACCCUCGGUGCAACGAGCUUUUAGGAGCACGCGUCGAGUUUCAAGGACCUUCCGGGCCGGUCUCCUUUACUAUUUUUACAAGGUUGACCUCGGAUCAGGUAGGAAUACCCGCUGAACUUAAGCAUAUCAAUAAGCGGAGGA